Unclassified non-coding RNA from Pongo abelii (Sumatran orangutan), 117 nucleotides. It matches the Rfam family "Metazoan signal recognition particle RNA". From Rfam's summary of the family: The signal recognition particle (SRP) is a universally conserved ribonucleoprotein. Lineage: Eukaryota; Metazoa; Chordata; Mammalia; Primates; Hominidae. The record is from Ensembl.
GCCGGGUGUGGUGCUGCACACCUGUAAUCCCAGCACUUUGGGAGGCUGAGGCAGAUGGAUUGUCUGAGCUCAGGAGUUCGAGACCAGCCUGGGCAACAUGGCAAAACCCUGCCUCUA